GACGAACGCUGGCGGCGUGCUUAACACAUGCAAGUCGAGCGGAAAGGCCCUUCGGGGUACUCGAGCGGCGAACGGGUGAGUAACACGUGAGCAACCUGCCCUUAGCUUCGGGAUAGCUCCGGGAAACCGGAAUUAAUACCGGAUAUGACCACGGCCGACAUCGGCCGUGGUGGAAAGUUUUUCGGCUAGGGAUGGACUCGCGGCCUAUCAGCUAGUUGGUGAGGUAACGGCCCACCAAGGCGACGACGGGUAGCCGGCCUGAGAGGGCGA
Molecule: ribosomal RNA, 270 nt
Filed under: uncultured bacterium
Lineage: Bacteria
Description: partial 16S ribosomal RNA
Rfam family: Bacterial small subunit ribosomal RNA
Source: RNAcentral